UACGUAGGAGGCGAGCGUUGUCCGGAAUUACUGGGCGUAAAGAGCGCGUAGGCGGCGCGGUACGACCGCUGUGAAAGCCCCCAGCUCAACUGGGGAGGGUCAUCGGUAACGGUCGUGCUAUGAGUGCAGGAGAGGGAAGUGGAACUCCGGGAGUAGCGGUGAAAUGCGUAGAGACCCGGAGGAACACCAGUGGCGAAGGCGGCUUCCUGGUCUGCGACUGACGCUGUGGCGCGAAAGCUAGGGGAGCAAACGGG
This 254-nucleotide ribosomal RNA is filed under the name uncultured bacterium. Its description in RNAcentral is "partial 16S ribosomal RNA". It matches the Rfam family "Bacterial small subunit ribosomal RNA", at positions 524 to 776 of the family's 1533-position model. The record is from RNAcentral.